AGAUGUGAAGGCGAUCACACUGCGACAUCUACUACCCCACUGAUCACCAGGGUUGAUUCAGCUGAUCCCUCACGGCUCCCUGUGCAGCCCUCCCGAAGCUGCGCGCUGGGUCAAAAAGGACGACCUUCCCCACCGGAGGAGGAUCAUUCUUGGGUCAUGGGAAUGCGAGUAGCUGCGCUCCCCUGCUAGAACCUCCAAACAAGCUCUCGAGAAACUUUCCUUUAGACUUCCACAGCUUUCUGAUCAUAUUUUUAAAAAUUUUUAAGUUUAUCUGACUUCUUUAGUUUUUU
This 290-nucleotide small nuclear RNA is filed under the name Dasypus novemcinctus (nine-banded armadillo). Its description in RNAcentral is "7SK RNA (ENSDNOG00000030193.1)". It matches the Rfam family "7SK RNA". From Rfam's summary of the family: 7SK was discovered as an abundant small nuclear RNA in the mid-70s but a possible function has only recently been suggested. Two independent studies have found that 7SK RNA binds the CDK9/cyclin T complex (known as elongation factor P-TEFb). P-TEFb activates transcription by phosphorylating the C-terminal domain of RNA polymerase II. The record is from RNAcentral. Lineage: Eukaryota; Metazoa; Chordata; Mammalia; Cingulata; Dasypodidae.